RNAcentral lists this ribosomal RNA (455 nucleotides) under uncultured bacterium. Its description in RNAcentral is "bacterial SSU rRNA". It matches the Rfam family "Bacterial small subunit ribosomal RNA", at positions 340 to 786 of the family's 1533-position model. The record is from RNAcentral.
UACGGAAGGCAGCAGUGGGGAAUAUUGCACAAUGGGCGCAAACCUGAUGCAGCCAUGCCGCGUGUAUGAAGAAGGCCUUCGGGUUGUAAAGUACUUUCAGUCGUGAGGAAGGUGUUAAGGUUAAUAACCUUAGCAAUUGACGUUAGCGACAGAAGAAGCACCGGCUAACUCCGUGCCAGCAGCCGCGGUAAUACGGAGGGUGCGAGCGUUAAUCGGAAUUACUGGGCGUAAAGGGCACGCAGGCGGUUAAUUAAGUUGGAUGUGAAAUCCCCGGGCUUAACCUGGGAAUGGCAUUCAAGACUGGUUAGCUAGAGUCUUGUAGAGGGGGGUAGAAUUCCAUGUGUAGCGGUGAAAUGCGUAGAGAUGUGGAGGAAUACCGGUGGCGAAGGCGGCCCCCUGGACAAAGACUGACGCUCAUGUGCGAAAGCGUGGGGAGCAAACAGGGAUUAGAUACC